CCGAGACCGGGGCGGCCGGGGGGUGUCGCGGGCCGCUCGGGCCACGCCGGGUCCCGGCGCUGCGAGGCGGACGGCGCGCCGCGCCCUGGCACCUCGCCCCCAGCGCCCCCAGCCUCAGUCCCCGCCUCCGAUAAUGCAUGCGGAAUCUUAGUUCCCCUGUCAGGGGUCGAACCCCUGCCCCCUGCAGUGGAAGCGCAGACAUUGCCGAGCCUCCAGGGAUGAGCAGGCAGACAGUGCAUGGAACCGUCUCCGGCCGAGGGACCAGCCUGAGGGAAGGCACAGAGAUGAGCAAGAGGGAGCCUGAGUGAGGGGCCAGAGGCCGAGGCUCCACUCCAGUGCUGGGCGAGUGGCUUCCUUUCAGAAGCUUCAGGGUUUUCAUCUGUAAAAUGAGGAGAAGCCUCUGGGCAGAUCUGGGAUGAUGAUUUGUCUGCGCUCUGCACUUGUCAAGUCCAGAGUGGUGCCCGGGCCACGACCGCACGGCCAGGGCGACUGUGGGCUGCCCAGGGGUGACCACUGCGAAGCCUCCUUUGGCAAGUGGAGGUGGUGAUGGUGACGAUGGUGACGACAGCGGAGGUGAUGGUGGUGUUUGAGAUUAAAAACAAGGGAAA
Long non-coding RNA from Hippopotamus amphibius kiboko, 608 nucleotides. RefSeq lists it as uncharacterized. Lineage: Eukaryota; Metazoa; Chordata; Mammalia; Artiodactyla; Hippopotamidae. The transcript is spliced from 3 exons. The record is from RefSeq and is a predicted model, not a curated record.